RNAcentral lists this ribosomal RNA (253 nucleotides) under uncultured bacterium. Its description in RNAcentral is "partial 16S ribosomal RNA". It matches the Rfam family "Bacterial small subunit ribosomal RNA", at positions 524 to 776 of the family's 1533-position model. The record is from RNAcentral.
UACGUAGGGGGCAAGCGUUGUCCGGAUUUAUUGGGCGUAAAGCGCGUGUAGGCGGCCAGAUAGGUCUGCUGUGAAAACUCGAGGCUCAACCUCGAGACGUCGGCGGAAACCAUCUGGCUAGAGUCCGGAAGAGGAGAGUGGAAUUCCUGGUGUAGCGGUGAAAUGCGCAGAUAUCAGGAAGAACACCCGUGGCGAAGGCGGCUCUCUGGGACGGUACUGACGCUGAGACGCGAAAGCGUGGGGAGCGAACAGG